UCUCCGUUGGUGAACCAGCGGAGGGAUCAUUACAGAGUUGCAAAACUCCCAAACCAUUGUGAACGUUACCUUUCCUGUUGCUUCGGCGGGCGGCCCGGGCCCCGCGCCCGGCGCCCCCCGGCCCCCCGUGGGCGCCCGCCGGAGGAAAACCAAACCCUUGAAUUGCAUGGCCUCUCUGAGUCUUCUGUACUGAAUAAGUCAAAACUUUCAACAACGGAUCUCUUGGUUCUG
RNAcentral lists this unclassified non-coding RNA (231 nucleotides) under plant metagenome. RNAcentral's name for it is "partial contains small subunit ribosomal RNA, internal transcribed spacer 1, and 5.8S ribosomal RNA". The record is from RNAcentral.